RNAcentral lists this non-coding RNA (514 nucleotides) under Pongo abelii (Sumatran orangutan). Lineage: Eukaryota; Metazoa; Chordata; Mammalia; Primates; Hominidae. The record is from RNAcentral.
AUGUUUCCUGAACACAAAAUGGCGACACGUGGUUAGCAUUCGUCGCCAACGAGAAAUUGGGGUCGGCCCGAAAGCUCUAGAAUGCACCCCUAUUCCUCCCCGGGGCCAUUCCCGCUCAACGAGUUUUAUGACCUAAAAAACCCCACAGGCUGGUCUGAAGAUUUGGUAGCAUGGGCUGUUGUGCUGGAGAGAACGAGAGCUACGAAGAGACUAGAAUGCCUCUGACUUUUUCAUAGGACAGUUGGCCGAGGAAGACACUUAAAGAUGAAGUGCUUAAUUCAAGGUCACAGAAUGUCGGGGAUGGACCUCCAGAUUUCCUUACUGACCUGCAUUAUCUUGUGGAUACCUGAGUGAAUUCCACACCACCCAUUUUAUAGAUGAAGCCACUGAGACGUGGAGCAACUGACUGAGUAGUCACUGCCCCACCCCUGCCUGGAGCCUCACACAUGACUUCUCUUAGUGACCACAGGAAAACAAGCUCAGGGCUCCCACUGAUUGUACAUUAUGAGACAGA